UUCUCCAAGUAAUCGCAUCGUUUUCAGAGCGCUCAAUUCUCGACAAUUCGAGCAGCUCUGUGUUACACGUGGUGAAAUGGUUAUGUGUCCAGAAGAGUAUCCAUAAUUCGUAAUCGAAGAGUGAUUUUUGACUGAAAGCCAUUUAUUUGUUUGCCAAGAAGUGCGAUGUAAUUGCAAUUGGAGCUGAUCAAUUGUUUGGAGUGGUCGGCCCUGGCAUUGUAACAAGCAUAACAACUUUCUGGUAUUAAAGUGACACAGGUCGUUCGUCGCAAGCUCGUUCUCGAGGUCACUACGCCACGCUGCUUGUGAUGCGGACAAUGUAUCCCGUCAAAUUCGCCUAGAUUAUAGAAAUAAUAAAGAUUAAACAAUGAUUUGAAAUGAUAAAGCUUCUGUAUGGUCGUUGGUAAGUUGUUUUAUCCACACAGCAAUAAUUGAUCUACGAAGUGUACUACCAAGAAUGUUAUUUUUGUGCAAGGAGGUUUUAGUCAUUAAUAAUAUAUAAUAAUAAUAACUUUUAUUUCUCACCAACAACCAAAAUUACAAUAUAGCGAAAACUUAAAAAUACAGGGGAUAUAUAAGUUUUGGUAGUGGAUCGCUGGUGCCUGUGGUAGGUAAUAAAAUACCUGUAUUACUGGUCACCAGGAUUUCACUUACACAGUGACUAAAAAGCUUGAAAUUCUAAAAGAUAGAGGUAAAUGUGUGUGUGUGUGUGUGUGUGUGUGU
Long non-coding RNA from Leptidea sinapis, 723 nucleotides. RefSeq lists it as uncharacterized. Lineage: Eukaryota; Metazoa; Arthropoda; Insecta; Lepidoptera; Pieridae. The transcript is spliced from 3 exons. The record is from RefSeq and is a predicted model, not a curated record.